CAGUCGCUGCGUGUUUGUAGACAGGAGAUGAGCUGACGUGGACUUUUCUUUUAAAUUCCUGAUGGAUUAUCAGUUUUUUUUCCUAGAAUAAUGAAAACUGAAUUAUUUUUUAUUGUAAAUUAAUUUUACAAGCCGAUCUAAUUCGAUCUCUUGCUGAAGUAAAGUAUCAGUUAGGAUUUAACAUCAGUGUUACAUUCAGGUGCAGAACACUGUAAAGGAAAAUGUUGGAAGCUUCAGAAACUGUGCAGUGAAGAGAUAAGGAGCAGAGAUGCAGAGGGCCGUGAUGGCGUGCAGCGACUGUCUCCGUCUGCCAGGAAACCACAGCUCCCCUGCUGGACAGAGGAGCUUUCUGGGUUUCACAUCUUUCUCCAUGGGAGAUCUGCUGAGAUCCAAGGAGCCUCACGUCCCCGUCAGCCUCAGGUAAAC
Molecule: long non-coding RNA, 426 nt
Organism: Cololabis saira (Pacific saury)
Lineage: Eukaryota; Metazoa; Chordata; Actinopteri; Beloniformes; Belonidae
Exons: 3
Source: RefSeq, a predicted model, not a curated record